UUUAUGGGGUGACUGCGUACCUUUUGUAUAAUGGGUCAGCGACUUAUAUUCUGUAGCAAGGUUAACCGAAUAGGGGAGCCGAAGGGAAACCGAGUCUUAACUGGGCGUUAAGUUGCAGGGUAUAGACCCGAAACCCGGUGAUCUAGCCAUGGGCAGGUUGAAGGUUGGGUAACACUAACUGGAGGACCGAACCGACUAAUGUUGAAAAAUUAGCGGAUGACUUGUGGCUGGGGGUGAAAGGCCAAUCAAACCGGGAGAUAGCUGGUUCUCCCCGAAAGCUAUUUAGGUAGCGCCUCGUGAAUUCAUCUCCGGGGGUAGAGCACUGUUUCGGCAAGGGGGUCAUCCCGACUUACCAACCCGAUGCAAACUGCGAAUACCGGAGAAUGUUAUCACGGGAGACACACGGCGGGUGCUAACGUCCGUCGUGAAGAGGGAAACAACCCAGACCGCCAGCUAAGGUCCCAAAGUCAUGGUUAAGUGGGAAACGAUGUGGGAAGGCCCAGACAGCCAGGAUGUUGGCUUAGAAGCAGCCAUCAUUUAAAGAAAGCGUAAUAGCUCACUGGUCGAGUCGGCCUGCGCGGAAGAUGUAACGGGGCUAAACCAUGCACCGAAGCUGCGGCAGCGACGCUUAUGCGUUGUUGGGUAGGGGAGCGUUCUGUAAGCCUGUGAAGGUGUACUGUGAGGUAUGCUGGAGGUAUCAGAAGUGCGAAUGCUGACAUAAGUAACGAUAAAGCGGGUGAAAAGCCCGCUCGCCGGAAGACCAAGGGUUCCUGUCCAACGUUAAUCGGGGCAGGGUGAGUCGACCCCUAAGGCGAGGCCGAAAGGCGUAGUCGAUGGGAAACAGGUUAAUAUUCCUGUACUUGGUGUUACUGCGAAGGGGGGACGGAGAAGGCUAUGUUGGCCGGGCGACGGUUGUCCCGGUUUAAGCGUGUAGGCUGGUUUUCCAGGCAAAUCCGGAAAAUCAAGGCUGAGGCGUGAUGACGAGGCACUACGGUGCUGAAGCAACAAAUGCCCUGCUUCCAGGAAAAGCCUCUAAGCAUCAGGUAACAUCAAAUCGUACCCCAAACCGACACAGGUGGUCAGGUAGAGAAUACCAAGGCGCUUGAGAGAACUCGGGUGAAGGAACUAGGCAAAAUGGUGCCGUAACUUCGGGAGAAGGCACGCUGAUAUGUAGGUGAAGCGACUUGCUCGUGGAGCUGAAAUCAGUCGAAGAUACCAGCUGGCUGCAACUGUUUAUUAAAAACACAGCACUGUGCAAACACGAAAGUGGACGUAUACGGUGUGACGCCUGCCCGGUGCCGGAAGGUUAAUUGAUGGGGUUAGCGGUAACGCGAAGCUCUUGAUCGAAGCCCCGGUAAACGGCGGCCGUAACUAUAACGGUCCUAAGGUAGCGAAAUUCCUUGUCGGGUAAGUUCCGACCUGCACGAAUGGCGUAAUGAUGGCCAGGCUGUCUCCACCCGAGACUCAGUGAAAUUGAACUCGCUGUGAAGAUGCAGUGUACCCGCGGCAAGACGGAAAGACCCCGUGAACCUUUACUAUAGCUUGACACUGAACAUUGAGCCUUGAUGUGUAGGAUAGGUGGGAGGCUUUGAAGUGUGGACGCCAGUCUGCAUGGAGCCGACCUUGAAAUACCACCCUUUAAUGUUUGAUGUUCUAACGUUGGCCCCUGAUCGGGGUUGCGGACAGUGUCUGGUGGGUAGUUUGACUGGGGCGGUCUCCUCCUAAAGAGUAACGGAGGAGCACGAAGGUUGGCUAAUCCUGGUCGGACAUCAGGAGGUUAGUGCAAUGGCAUAAGCCAGCUUGACUGCGAGCGUGACGGCGCGAGCAGGUGCGAAAGCAGGUCAUAGUGAUCCGGUGGUUCUGAAUGGAAGGGCCAUCGCUCAACGGAUAAAAGGUACUCCGGGGAUAACAGGCUGAUACCGCCCAAGAGUUCAUAUCGACGGCGGUGUUUGGCACCUCGAUGUCGGCUCAUCACAUCCUGGGGCUGAAGUAGGUCCCAAGGGUAUGGCUGUUCGCCAUUUAAAGUGGUACGCGAGCUGGGUUUAGAACGUCGUGAGACAGUUCGGUCCCUAUCUGCCGUGGGCGCUGGAGAACUGAGGGGGGCUGCUCCUAGUACGAGAGGACCGGAGUGGACGCAUCACUGGUGUUCGGGUUGUCAUGCCAAUGGCACUGCCCGGUAGCUAAAUGCGGAAGAGAUAAGUGCUGAAAGCAUCUAAGCACGAAACUUGCCCCGAGAUGAGUUCU
Molecule: ribosomal RNA, 2244 nt
Filed under: human gut metagenome
Description: bacterial LSU rRNA
Rfam family: Bacterial large subunit ribosomal RNA
Source: RNAcentral